RNAcentral lists this ribosomal RNA (481 nucleotides) under uncultured bacterium. RNAcentral's name for it is "partial 16S ribosomal RNA". It matches the Rfam family "Bacterial small subunit ribosomal RNA", at positions 28 to 523 of the family's 1533-position model. The record is from RNAcentral.
GACGAACGCUGGCGGCGUGCUUAACACAUGCAAGUCGAGCGGAAAGGCCACUUCGGUGGUACUCGAGCGGCGAACGGGUGAGUAACACGAGAGUAAUCUGCCCCUGGCUUUGGGAUAGCCACCGGAAACGGUGAUUAAUACCGGAUAGGACCACUUAUCGCAUGGGAUGGUGGUGGAAAGUUUUUUCGGCCAGGGAUGUGCUCGCGGCCUAUCAGCUUGAUGGUGAGGUAAUGGCUCACCAGGGCUUCUACGGGUAGCCGGCCUGAGAGGGUGACCGGUCACACUGGGACUGAGACACGGCCCAGACUCCUGCGGGAGGCAGCAGUGGGGAAUAUUGGACAAUGGGCGGAAGCCUGAUCCAGCAACGCCGCGUGAUGGAUGACGGCCUUCGUUUUGUAAACCUCUUUCAGCAGGGACUAAGCGUAAGUGACGGUACCUGCAGAAAAAGCACCGGCUAACUACGUGCCAGCCGCCGCCGUAA